Molecule: long non-coding RNA, 327 nt
Filed under: Amborella trichopoda
Lineage: Eukaryota; Viridiplantae; Streptophyta; Magnoliopsida; Amborellales; Amborellaceae
Description: long non-coding RNA (ATRI_LNC001985)
Source: RNAcentral
GAGAGAGUAAGAGGACGACUGUGAGAAAUGAAGGAGAGAGAGAGCUCACGUUAGAGAUUUUGAGGCCCUACUUUUACCCUGUUUUGAAGAGAGAGUGGGUAAUAUGAGAGAGUGCUGUUGUGGGUUUGAAGUAAAACCAGUUCUAGUGUAAGGAAGUCAUAUGGAGGAAGCCUGCCAGCGUUGUAAACGGACUUAGUAGAGAGAAACCCCUUUGGUUGAAGGUUUUUGGGUAUGCUUCACCUUGUAAUCUUUUUGAAUUAGUAUAUAAAGUCUCGCACCAUUAUCUAAUAGAUGUAGAUCGUUAUUUGUGGCUAAACAACAUUGAAG